RNAcentral lists this small RNA (28 nucleotides) under Bombyx mori (domestic silkworm). Its description in RNAcentral is "ovarian small RNA-28155". Lineage: Eukaryota; Metazoa; Arthropoda; Insecta; Lepidoptera; Bombycidae. The record is from RNAcentral.
UCGAACUACACCUUCGCCGGGACGACCC